RNAcentral lists this long non-coding RNA (246 nucleotides) under Mytilus galloprovincialis (Mediterranean mussel). Lineage: Eukaryota; Metazoa; Mollusca; Bivalvia; Mytilida; Mytilidae. The record is from RNAcentral.
AAAGAUUUUAAAUUUCAAUUUGCACAAAACAAGUGUAAUUAGGGACGCAGCUAUCCUUCAUUCAGUCAUCAGCCUUUGGGCUAUUUUCUGUUGUUUGUUUGGGUUGUUGUCUUUUUGACACAUUCCCCAUUUCUAAAAAAAAAUCUUAAUAUAUAAAAAUGGUGUAGGGGUUCUAUUAUUGCCCUCACCCUUUGAAGAAAUUUCAUGUUUUAAUGCUCAAAAUGUUCACAAUUGAAUUCCAUCUUU